This is a long non-coding RNA of Pezoporus flaviventris, 292 nucleotides long. RefSeq lists it as uncharacterized. Lineage: Eukaryota; Metazoa; Chordata; Aves; Psittaciformes; Psittacidae. The record is from RefSeq and is a predicted model, not a curated record. The transcript has 2 exons.
UUCUCCCAGGCAAGGGGUAGAAGCUGUUGCUUUGAAAGGAGGGGAAGGCAGGGAGUUGAAGGCUGCAGGCUUCUCAGCUGCAAAGACAAAGCUAAAUGUUGCCUGCCACAAAAGGAGGGGGGAGAGGAGGAAGGGAUGGAGAUGGGAGAGAAGAGAAAGGGAUGGAGAGUGGAGAGAAGAGAAAGGGAUAGAGAGAAAGGGAUGGAGAUGGGAGAGGGUUGGUGAGCCCUGGGAGCCAGCUUUAACCUCUCCUGGGCCACCACCAGCACCUCCCCAGCCUCUCCAUGGAGAC